CUGAUGCUGAAAAUGAUCAGAGGACUCGCGGUGAUGAAAGUGAUUUGCAUGUCAUAAUCUUUGAUGAAAUUGAUGCUAUUUGCAAGUCGAGAGGAUCAACCAGGGAUGGUACUGGAGUUCGUGACAGUAUUGUGAAUCAACUGCUUACAAAGAUAGAUGGUGUAGAGGCUUUGAAUAAUGUCUUGCUCAUUGGAAUGACCAACAGAAAGGAUUUACUUGAUGAAGCCCUAUUGAGACCAGGACGGUUGGAGGUUCAAGUUGAGAUAAGCCUGCCUGAUGAGAAUGGUCGUCUACAAAUUCUUCAAAUUCAUACAAAUAAAAUGAAGGAAAAUUCCUUUCUUGCUCCUGAUGUGAACCUUGCAGAACUUGGUACGUGCAUUGGUGAUGUAUACUAGUGAGACCUAUCAUAUUUAUUUUUUAGAUUGCGACAUUUAAAUGAUGAGUAUUUCCUUCUGUUAUGGUGUAUUCAGUAUUAAUGUGUCUGUUCCAUCCUCUAGUUGUCUCAGAAAUGAUCAGGGCACUGAACUGAACUAGAUGCCAUUUUCAAUGUGUCACCAGCUUCUCUUUUUUUGCUUCUCUUUGCUUCUCAGCUUCUCUUUCUUUCUCUUUUUUUUUUCGUCUACACAACUAUGUUAUUCUCCUCCACUCACUCUCGUCUACACAACCACUCACUCACUAAUUUCUGGUUUCGUCUCGUCAUUUGUAACUAAACAGUAUAACAAUUCAAGUCACUAAACCGUCUUUUCAUGAUUAUGAAUAAGCCUUCUUUUGGCAUAGUGCUUAGAGAAUCAAUACACAAUUUUUUGUAGCUACUUCUUUCUUCCGAAAUUGCUUUUUCAUUUGUGAGA
Humulus lupulus (European hop) is the source of this 848-nucleotide long non-coding RNA. RefSeq lists it as uncharacterized. Lineage: Eukaryota; Viridiplantae; Streptophyta; Magnoliopsida; Rosales; Cannabaceae. The transcript is spliced from 5 exons. The record is from RefSeq and is a predicted model, not a curated record.